This 237-nucleotide long non-coding RNA is filed under the name Lathyrus oleraceus (garden pea). RNAcentral's name for it is "Pisum sativum (pea) long non-coding RNA (PSAT_LNC026567)". Lineage: Eukaryota; Viridiplantae; Streptophyta; Magnoliopsida; Fabales; Fabaceae. The record is from RNAcentral.
CAGGAUGUCCUCCUCACCACAGACAGUGAUAAUUCGUCCGUUGACCGGGAAUUUAAUUUUCUGAUGCAGUGUUGAAGAGACUGCCCCAGCAUUGUGAAUCCAAGGACGACCCAGCAGGCAACUAUACGAGGGACUGAUAUCCAUCACAUAGAAAACGGUGUUGAAGGUUUGUGAUCCAAUCUGAAUUGGCAAUUCUACCUCUCCAAACACCGACCUCUUAGAACCAUCGAAGGCUCU